This 507-nucleotide ribosomal RNA is filed under the name uncultured Glomus. Its description in RNAcentral is "SSU rRNA". It matches the Rfam family "Eukaryotic small subunit ribosomal RNA", at positions 569 to 1078 of the family's 1831-position model. The record is from RNAcentral. Lineage: Eukaryota; Fungi; Glomeromycota; Glomeromycetes; Glomerales; Glomeraceae.
AGCAGCCGCGGUAAUUCCAGCUCCAAUAGCGUAUAUUAAAGUUGUUGCAGUUAAAAAGCUCGUAGUUGAAUUUCGGGAUCAGACUGUCGGUCGUGCCUCGGUACGCACUGGCAUUAUUGGUUCCUACCUUCUGAAGAACCGCGAUGUCAUUAAUUUGGUGUCGUGGGGAAUCAGGACUGUUACUUUGAAAAAAUUAGAGUGUUUAAAGCAGGCGCACGCUUGAAUACAUUAGCAUGGAAUAAUAAAAUAGGACGUUUGAUUCUAUUUUGUUGGUUUCUAGGAUCGACGUAAUGAUUAAUAGGGAUAGUUGGGGGCAUUAGUAUUCAAUUGUCAGAGGUGAAAUUCUUGGAUUUAUUGAAGACUAACUACUGCGAAAGCAUUUGCCAAGGAUGUUUUCAUUAAUCAAGAACGAAAGUUAGGGGAUCGAAGACGAUCAGAUACCGUCGUAGUCUUAACCAUAAACUAUGCCGACUAGGGAUCGGAUGAUGUUAAUUUUUUAAUGACUCA